RNAcentral lists this transfer RNA (88 nucleotides) under uncultured Paludibacter sp. RNAcentral describes it as "tRNA-Leu". It matches the Rfam family "tRNA". From Rfam's summary of the family: Transfer RNA (tRNA) molecules are approximately 80 nucleotides in length. Lineage: Bacteria; Pseudomonadati; Bacteroidota; Bacteroidia; Bacteroidales; Paludibacteraceae. The record is from RNAcentral.
GCCCGAAUGGUGGAAUGGUAGACACGAAGGACUUAAAAUCCUUUGGCCUUUAUCGGCUGUGGGGGUUCAAGUCCCCCUUCGGGUACAA